Small nucleolar RNA from Oncorhynchus kisutch (coho salmon), 215 nucleotides. Its record names the gene U3. It matches the Rfam family "Small nucleolar RNA U3". Rfam says of the family: Small nucleolar RNAs (snoRNAs) are involved in the processing and modification of rRNA in the nucleolus. There are two main classes of snoRNAs: the box C/D class, and the box H/ACA class. U3 snoRNA is a member of the box C/D class. Lineage: Eukaryota; Metazoa; Chordata; Actinopteri; Salmoniformes; Salmonidae. The record is from Ensembl.
GAGAUCUACCACUUUAGACACACAUUUCUCAAGUAACGCACUAUAGAAAUGAUCCCUGAAAGUAUAGUCUCGCUAUCCAUGAUGACGAUUCAAGAUAUUCCCAUUCAGAGCAUGAAUCUGGUGGUUAGAAAUGACUUUGCUCAUUUUUCUUCCACCUUGAUGACUGUUCCUUGUUCUUCAAUGAACGUGGAUGAAGGGAAUAUGUUCUGAGUGGA